UUUACUUAUUUUCGCAUUCGCUCUGACGUCUGUAAACGAGAGUUUGAUUGACCUCCGGGGGACUGACGUCCCCCGAAGCAACGUGGUAGGUAAGCAAGGGUUGGGAGUUCGGGGGGUUUCCCCCCCUGAGCCCGGUAAUGAUCCUUCCGCAGGUUCACCUACGGAAA
This 167-nucleotide unclassified non-coding RNA is filed under the name uncultured fungus. Its description in RNAcentral is "sequence contains ITS1". The record is from RNAcentral. Lineage: Eukaryota; Fungi.